GCGUCUUGUGCCUCGCUCGGUCUGCUCCUUUCGCUGGACUUAUCUUGAGCUGGAUAUCCCAAAGUCAUAAAGUCUAUGGUUUACCAUUGACAAGACCCUACGGAUAAUAGACAAUAUGAAUCUUAAUCGUAUCAACGAUUUUUGAGUACGCUCUCAAUCCUUAACUCGCUUCCGUGAUUGAACAGCGUAAUUUAUCUGUUGACAUAU
This 207-nucleotide small nucleolar RNA is filed under the name Orbilia oligospora ATCC 24927. The record is from RNAcentral. Lineage: Eukaryota; Fungi; Ascomycota; Orbiliomycetes; Orbiliales; Orbiliaceae.